Molecule: transfer RNA, 74 nt
Filed under: Trichonephila clavipes
Lineage: Eukaryota; Metazoa; Arthropoda; Arachnida; Araneae; Nephilidae
Rfam family: tRNA
About the family: Transfer RNA (tRNA) molecules are approximately 80 nucleotides in length. Their secondary structure includes four short double-helical elements and three loops (D, anti-codon, and T loops).
Source: Rfam by way of RNAcentral
GCUUCCGUGGCGUAAUGGGCUAGCGCGUUCGGCUGUUAGCCGAAAGGUUGGUGGUUCGAGUCCACCCGGGGUCG